UUACACAUAUUUAGUUCUUCAUUUUGAUUGGUGCCUCGGUUAGAUUAAUAGUUUGAUGAUCCAAGUUUGAUUAAUAGUUCUUCAUUUCUAGGGUUUCACCGUCUUCUCCCUCUCUUCGCAUCGCCUCUCAAACAUCUUCAUCCAAGAUUGGAUCACCGAUGAUAGCAGAUUCUCUACAAACACAAAUCAGUUGUUGAUAAACAAUGAAUUUUAGGGAUAAUAAUAAAGAUGAAAGGUCCGAUAGAGAUCUUUGAAACCGUUUCUUCAUACCGGCAGUUGGUACCGUAUCACAAUUUAGUUGAGACAUUGAUAAAAAGAUAAAUUUGUUUCAUCUGAUGUAUUAUUUUUUGUUUAUAUGUGAGCAGGUUGUUCGUUUCUUUUCAGUGUAUCUUUUGUUUUGAUGCUGAAGUUAAUAGAUUUGAUUAUGAUCGUUAUAAAUUUUUGCAAUGUAUCAAGUCAUAUUGGUUCAGCA
Long non-coding RNA from Helianthus annuus (common sunflower), 472 nucleotides. RefSeq lists it as uncharacterized. The record is from RefSeq and is a predicted model, not a curated record. The transcript has 3 exons. Lineage: Eukaryota; Viridiplantae; Streptophyta; Magnoliopsida; Asterales; Asteraceae.